Molecule: ribosomal RNA, 870 nt
Filed under: uncultured cyanobacterium
Lineage: Bacteria; Bacillati; Cyanobacteriota
Description: bacterial SSU rRNA
Rfam family: Bacterial small subunit ribosomal RNA
Source: RNAcentral
AGAGUUUGAUUAUGGCUCAGGAUGAACGCUGGCGGCGUGCCUAACACAUGCAAGUCGAACGGACGUCUUUGGACGUUAGUGGCGGACGGGUGAGUAGCGCGUGAGAAUCUGCCCGUGGGCUGGGGACAACAGUUGGAAACGGCUGCUAAUACCCAAUAAGCCGCAAGGUAAAAGAUUAAUUACCCACAGAGGAGCUCGCGUCUGAUUAGCUAGUUGGUGUGGUAAGAGCGCACCAAGGCGACGAUCAGUAGCUGGUCUGAGAGGAUGGGCAGCCACACUGGGACUGAGACACGGCCCAGACUCCUACGGGAGGCAGCAGUGGGGAAUUUUCCGCAAUGGGCGAAAGCCUGACGGAGCAACGCCGCGUGAGGGAGGAAGGCCUUUGGGUUGUAAACCUCUUUUGCUGGGGAAGAAGACAAUGACGGUACCCAGCGAAUCAGCCUCGGCUAACUCCGUGCCAGCAGCCGCGGUAAUACGGAGGAGGCAAGCGUUAUCCGGAAUUAUUGGGCGUAAAGCGUCCGCAGGUGGCUGCUCAAGUCUGCUGUUAAAGCCUGGUGCUCAACACCAUCCCGGCAGUGGAAACUGAGAAGCUAGAGUCCGGUAGGGGGUAGCGGGAAUUCCCAGUGUAGCGGUGAAAUGCGUAGAGAUUGGGAAGAACAUCGGUGGCGAAGGCGCGCUACUGGGCCGGCACUGAUACUCAAGGACGAAAGCUAGGGGAGCGAAAGGGAUUAGAUACCCCUGUAGUCCUAGCUGUAAACGAUGGAGACUGGGCGUGGCUUGUAUCGACCCGAGCCGUGCCGAAGCUAACGCGUUAAGUCUCCCGCCUGGGGAGUACGCACGCAAGUGUGAAACUCAAAUGAAUUGACGGGG